CCUACGGGUGGCAGCAGUGAGGAAUAUUGGUCAAUGGACGAGAGUCUGAACCAGCCAAGUAGCGUGAAGGAUGACUGCCCUAUGGGUUGUAAACUUCUUUUAUAUGGGAAUAAAAUGUUCCACGUGUGGGAUUUUGUAUGUACCAUAUGAAUAAGGAUCGGCUAACGCCGUGCCAGCAGCCGCCGUAAUACGGAGGAUCCGAGCGUUAUCCGGAUUUAUUGGGGUUAAAGGGAGCGUAGGUGGAUUGUUAAGGCAGUUGUGAAAGUUUGCGGCUCAACCGUAAAAUUGCAGUUGAAACUGGCAGUCUUGAGUACAGUAGAGGUGGGCGGAAUUCGUGGUGUAGCGGUGAAAUGCUUAGAUAUCACGAAGAACUCCGAUUGCGAAGGCAGUUCACUGGACUGCAACUGACACUGAGGCUCGAAAGUGUGGGUAUCAAACAGGAUUAGAUACCCUUGUAGUC
Molecule: ribosomal RNA, 460 nt
Filed under: uncultured bacterium
Lineage: Bacteria
Description: partial 16S ribosomal RNA
Rfam family: Bacterial small subunit ribosomal RNA
Source: RNAcentral